GAUGAACGCUAGCUACAGGCUUAACACAUGCAAGUCGAGGGGAAACGACAUCGAAAGCUUGCUUUUGAUGGGCGUCGACCGGCGCACGGGUGAGUAACGCGUAUCCAACCUGCCCAUCACUUUGGGAUAACCUUACGAAAGUAAGACUAAUACCCAGUGAUAUCACUAAAAGACAUCUGAAAGAGAUUAAAGGUUUAUCGGUGAUGGAUGAGGAUGCGUCUGAUUAGCUUGUUGGCGGGGUAACGGCGCACCCAGGCAACGAUCAGUAGGUGUUCUGAGAGGAAGCUCCCCCACAUUGGAACUGAGGUACAGUCCACACUCGUACGGGAGGCAGCAGUGAGGAAUAUUGGUCAAGGGACGAGAGCCUGAACCAGCCAAGUAGCGUGCAGGAAGACGGCCCUAUGGGUUGUAAACUGCUUUUAUAAGGGAAUAAAGUGAGAGUCGUGACUCUUUUUGUAUGUACCUUAUGAAUAAGGACCGGCUAAUUCCGUG
Molecule: ribosomal RNA, 492 nt
Filed under: uncultured bacterium
Lineage: Bacteria
Description: partial 16S ribosomal RNA
Rfam family: Bacterial small subunit ribosomal RNA
Source: RNAcentral